UACGUAGGGUGCGAGCGUUGUCCGGAUUUAUUGGGCGUAAAGAGCUCGUAGGCGGUCUGUCGCGUCGGCUGUGAAAACCCGGGGCUCAACCCCGGGCCUGCAGUCGAUACGGGCAGACUAGAGUGCGGUAGGGGAGACUGGAAUUCCUGGUGUAGCGGUGAAAUGCGCAGAUAUCAGGAGGAACACCGGUGGCGAAGGCGGGUC
This 204-nucleotide ribosomal RNA is filed under the name uncultured bacterium. Its description in RNAcentral is "partial 16S ribosomal RNA". It matches the Rfam family "Bacterial small subunit ribosomal RNA", at positions 524 to 727 of the family's 1533-position model. The record is from RNAcentral.